Molecule: long non-coding RNA, 3517 nt
Filed under: Sus scrofa (pig)
Lineage: Eukaryota; Metazoa; Chordata; Mammalia; Artiodactyla; Suidae
Description: lncRNA (ENSSSCG00050056727.1)
Source: RNAcentral
CACACAUGGGCUUCGUACUCUUCAGCCACUGGAUCUCCGUUUUGUCAUUGCAUAUUGAACUGAAGUGGAUUCAGAACAUCACUGCAGUGAAAGUGAAAAGACAGAGACCCUCAAGGCACAGAAAGAUCAGCAGGAUUAUAGUUACAGAAGGCGAAAUAUCACUGCAUUCAAACCACUGCCCACGUUUCAUCUGGAGAUGAACUGGAGCCCGCAAAGGACUAGCGUGGCGCUGAUGACAGAGCUUUGUACCAAGUGAAGGGCACAAAAAACCCUCUGCUUCUUUCCUCCUACGCAAUUGUGCACCCAGGGCAGUGCUGAUAUAUUUCCCAAUACCUCUUUUGCAAGUCCUGCAGUGCAGUGGGCAUGCUGCGCUUGAUACAGCGGCACUGUGGGUGCUUGUAGAUCACUUCUUCCGGCUUCAGCUGCAAACUCUUCUACCUAUUCUUUAUUAUCACCGCCUUUGGGGACUGCCUCUGGGGUAGGUGAGCAGGGUCCUUAACCGAGAGGCAAAGCGAGCACCUCUUGCAUUAAAAAGACCUCGUGGACCCCCGAGUACCGGAAGUCCUUGGAGCGCAGGAGCGUGGCAAUCCGCAUUCGCGACCGGAAGCUACGUCAUGAAGGCGCCGGUCUUGCUGCGCUGUGAGGGUGAACCAGGCCCGUCGUCGGAGGAAGAGGCGGACCAUUUUCAUUUUCAGUCCAGAGAGAAUGAAGUUCGACAUGCCUGAGACUGUGUUCUGAAGACCGCAUAGUUUCCUCGCGCACAUCGCAAAUGAUUUCUAAACAUUACUAGAAUAUUUUGCGCCUUUUCUUCGGGAUCUUAAGGUGCAUACUGCCCUGUGUGAUAGGAUAACGAAGCACAGGUGAGGUCGCCACAUGCUGCUAUGCUGCUGUCCUGCCCGGGAGUGGGGGCACUGGGAAGGAGGCGGCCGCCUAGCAGACAGGAGAGCCGGGUCCAGCCUCCGUGAGCAUUAAUUAACGUGUGACUCAAAUGACGGGCCUGCAGCAGUCAAGCUUUUGCCAAGAUAACUGGUGAAAGUUCAGAAGAGCCAUCUAGCUGACCAGUCCCUGAACAUGGACACAUGGUGAUACUGACUAGCCGAAGGUGGAGCCAGAACCCAUUCAUACCAGAGAGCCUGACCAGUUACAACCUACAGAGCAGCUGGGAGAGAGAAGGAAAGUCUCUUUCAUGGCAUGAAAAUGAAGAUCCAGAAAUUGCACAUGAAACCUGCAAAUGAAUGUAUCUUCAAAACUGAGGAAAGAAAGGAGAUGAGUGAUCUGGGAGAUGUCGCAUAGAGGGAAUUGACAAAAACUGGAGAGAAUAAAGUUUGAAAAGGAAGAGCUGUCAAGGAGGACAACCAGGUUUCCCAUCUGAGAGACCAGGUAAUGACUGAACUCAUGAACUGAGUAAAUGAUAUUCUACUGGAGAGGGAGAGGGUAGAGAGAUGAAUUCAAUUUUACUCAUAACAAAUGGCCAAGAUUUCACUGCUGUAAUACCAACACUAUCUCACCUGAAAUGAUUUCACUAUUUGGCUCCUAAAGAUAGCAGUGCAAAAAGGUUCCAAAUUUAUUUGUGUAUUUGAACAAUUAAGCUGUUUUUUUUUUAAAAAAAUACACAAAGAAUCAUAUUAUGUAAAGGUAAAAGAACCAAAAAACAACAUCACCUGAACGAUUUAUCUAUAAUGUAUGGAUCUUACCCUCAACAUAAGCCCCAAUGGAACAUUUCGGCUCCAUAAAAUCGGGACACUCCAGACAUAGUCUAAUAAUCCUUAGCUACUAUCAGACUGUUAUUAGCCUCAGGCUGAGCCCAUAAAUGCACAACAAAGUCAAGUAUGGUAAAUACAAAAGAUAAGUCUAAGAAAAAGAAAUCCCAAACAUUCUGGCUCAAUUAUAAAAUAUUUCAGACAAAAGCAGAAGUCAAAUAUAUUUCUUCUUGAGUGUCUCCCACAGAACACAGGUAAAUAGAUGACACUCUUGAAAUACCGCUUGAAUGUGUUUAUGAAUUAUCUAGAUAACUGAUUGUUUUCAUAUUUAUGCUGCUUACGUGAAAUGUAGGUUAUUAAAGUGUUCUGUGUGUGUAUCUAAACAAUAUCACAUGUUCGUGUCUCCUCACUAUGGUCAUUCACACAUUUAUGAAUCUGUGAAUCUAUAUAUGACAAUUAAUGCUGACCUAGAAAGCUUUCCCUUUCUUGGCCCAAAGGGUACACUAAUUCGAUUCAAGGGAUCUAAUAUGUUGCAGGAAACAUUUUUGAAAAGAUUUCUCAACAUAAUUUGUUGCUUUGGCUAUCAUCAGACUUGGUUAAUCUAAAUCUUAGUUUGCAAUUUCAUUCUCUUGUGCAAAUGUGUCUAAAAACUCGAAAUGUAAUGCCACACUAUUUUCAACUGUCUGGUUACUGUUUAAAUAUAGCAGGCAAGAAAGCCAUGAAAAUAGACCAAUCAAACACAAAUGAACAGAGUCUGACUAAAUUCUUCAUCUUUAUUAAAAUACAUGUUUCAUUAUUUUCAAAUGAACUUUUUUUGCUGUUAAAAGAUAUUUUGUGAAAUUAUUUAUGAUGUUUUCAGUGAAAGGAUCUCCAUUUUAUACCUUCCACUUAUAAAGAGCCUAUAUUACGCAUAAAGUGAGGUUUAUCUCAAGGUUACUUUCCCGCUGAUAGACUGCUCACUGCUGACAACAGGUCAGUGACUCAUGAAACUACUAGGCUAGUUUUCACGUAAUACUCCAAUUAAGCGAAACAAUGCGAUGCAUCUACCUUGUUUUCAUGUUCCAUAAUGAUGCUAAUAUAGUGUGUGAAAAUCCACUAACGAGAUCCACCUGAAGAAAUGACUACCUCCCACAAAAAUGUCUGAUCAUGCCUUUAGUGAUAUUUUGUAAGCUUUAACGGAUCCCCAGAAUCCGACCCUGUAAAUAGCCAACCUGCCACUCAUUUACUGAGGAAAGUGGGUGAGAGUCAAUCUUUGACAAAGAUGAACAAAAAACAGCCAACUUCUUUUAGAUGUGAAAUGUAUUUUUCCUUGAACUCCAACUCUUUCAUAAAUAUUUCCUUUGACAGAUUUUUUUUCAUUCCCCUAUAUUUCUCUGUUUGUGGUUAAUGGUGCAGAACUAUCACUCUUUUAAAUGUCAAAUUAUCAUUUCUUAUUCAUACUUCUUGACAAUUGCUACCCUCUAAAUAUAUUAUUUAGAAUUAUUUGCAGAGUGUAGCAAAAUGGUAUAGCUGCUAUUCUGUUCAAAGUUUUAUACAAAGAUAAGUUUUCUUAAACCAAUUUUUGUUCUCAGUAUGGGGUACUGCAUUAUAACACACUGCUAGAAGAUUAUUAUGAAAUGUCAAACAUCUAUUAGAGCCUAUAUUGCUUUUCAAAAUAAUAUAUAUUUGUUAAACAUCUACUGUGAGUAUUGCACUAUAUUAUAUAUUAUAGCAGUACAUAGUCUGGAGAAGACAAGUUCCUGACCUUGAGGAGUCUGUCACCAAUCUCCUAGCUGGAUAACAAUAAAGGCAUAGUCUACUUAAAAAAAAAAAAAAAA